CCUACGGGCGGCAGCAGUGGGGAAUAUUGCACAAUGGGCGAAAGCCUGAUGCAGCAACGCCGCGUGAGCGAUGAAGGCCUUCGGGUCGUAAAGCUCUGUCCUCAAGGAAGAUAAUGACGGUACUUGACCAAGAAGCCCCGGCUAACUACGUGCCAGCAGCCGCGGUAAUACGUAGGGGGCUAGCGUUAUCCGGAAUUACUGGGGGUAAAGGGUGCGUAGGUGGGUUUGUAAGUCAGGAGGGAAAGGCCGGGGCUCAAACCGAGGAAAGCUUUUGAAACUGGGGAACUUGAGGGCAGGAGAGGCGGGUGGAAUUCCUGGUGUAGCGGUGAAAUGCGUAGAGAUUAGGAGGAACACCAGCGGCGAAGGCGGCUCUCUGGACUGUAACUGACGCUGAGGCACGAAAGCGUGGGGAGCAAACAGGAUUAGAUACCCUUGUAGUC
RNAcentral lists this ribosomal RNA (440 nucleotides) under uncultured bacterium. Its description in RNAcentral is "partial 16S ribosomal RNA". It matches the Rfam family "Bacterial small subunit ribosomal RNA", at positions 338 to 795 of the family's 1533-position model. The record is from RNAcentral.